RNAcentral lists this long non-coding RNA (1134 nucleotides) under Ananas comosus (pineapple). Its description in RNAcentral is "long non-coding RNA (ACOM_LNC026049)". Lineage: Eukaryota; Viridiplantae; Streptophyta; Magnoliopsida; Poales; Bromeliaceae. The record is from RNAcentral.
ACUGUCCCAAUGCUUUACCGGCUAACAAUACUCCAGACUACAGUUUUGCAUUAUUUCGACUCCAAUUCGCGCUGAGCAAUGCUAAAACCCUUCUAACUCACUUUAAACUCAACUCUAACUAUUCCAACAUUAUUAGAAUGCCAAAUGGACUUUGUCCAACUAUUUCUCUCACAUACUUUGAUCAAUUUGACUAAAGUUCGAUAUAGUCUACCGAAGUUUCAGUAUAUUACACCGACCAUAGUACCGGUUCCCAACACCCAGUACCGGUACCAAAUACCCCAAAUUGCCAAACCUGAAAGCAACUACUCUCUGGCACGUGAUGGGGUUCCGGUACCCUACCCAAGUACCGAUACUCUGCACCCAAAAACCUAAAUUUACAGAUUUUGGUGCCAAGGACUCCUUUUCGCAUUCUCGGAACAUGAGUAACAGGUUGGUACUUAGUCAACGGCCUUCAAAAACACCAGAAAUAGCGCAAGGCACUAUUCUAACAAUAGAACCUUGCUAUUUGCUAAAGUUCAGUGUGCUACAACAUACCUAUUAGACAGCAAAUUUGUAAGGUUACAGAACUUAAAUAUAGAAUUAGACAAAAUUAUAAUCACAAAAAAUCACUAAAUAAUACAAUACAGAGAAAAGAACAUAACAAAAAUGAAUAAAAUCAGAUGAUGAUCCACGGAAACCAACUUAACAUCUACAUAACUAUAUAGACAAAAUAAUAAAAAAAAACUAACUCAAACGACAAACUAUGCCUAACAUUCACUCGAUUCGACCCUCACCCGGAAAUAAGGUCUCGAAAUCUUGGUAAGCAACCAUACACCACAUUAAUCGAAUUAAGCAUGCAAAAUAGAUAAUUUUUUAAAUAAUCAAAUAUAAUCUUCAUACUAAAAAUAUAGUAGUGAUGACUAAGUUUCACAAAAAAAUUUUAGAAAUUUGAAUCUUAAACACGAACAUCUACAUAACUAUAUAGACAAAAUAAUAAAAAAAAACUAACUCAAAUGACAAACUAUGCCUAACAUUCACUCGAUUCGACCCUCACCCGGAAAUAAGGCCUCGAAAUCUUGGUAAGCAACCAUACACCACAUUAAUCGAACUAAGCAUGCAAAAUAGACAAUUUUUUAAAUAAUCAAAUAUAAUCUU